Long non-coding RNA from Erpetoichthys calabaricus (reedfish), 412 nucleotides. RefSeq lists it as uncharacterized. The record is from RefSeq and is a predicted model, not a curated record. NCBI's taxonomy places the organism in Eukaryota, Metazoa, Chordata, Cladistia, Polypteriformes, Polypteridae. The transcript has 2 exons.
GUUAUAUGGGUUGGAGACGGUGGCACUGACCAGAAAGCAGAAGACAGAGCUGGAGGUGGCAGAGUUAAAGAUGCUAAGAUUUGCAUUGGGUGUGACGCGCAUAGAUAGGAUUAGAAAUGAGGACAUGAGAGGGUCAGCUCAGGUUGGAUGGUUGGGAGACAAAGUCAGAGAGGCAAGAUUGCGUUGGUUUGGACAUGUACAGAGGACAGAUGCUGAGUAUAUUGGGAGAAGGAUGCUAAGAAUAGAGCUGCCAGGGAAGAGGAGAAGAGGAAGGCCUAAGAGAAGGUUUAUGGAUGUGGUGAGAGAGGACAUGCAGAUGAUGGGUGUGACAGAACAAGAUGACGAGGACAGGAAGAGAUGGAAAAAGAUGAUCCACUGUGGUGACCCCUAACGGGAGCAGCCGAAAGAAGAA